UGGUUGAUCCUGCCAGUAGUCAUAUGCUUGUCUCAAAGAUUAAGCCAUGCAUGUCUAAGUACAGCUCUCGUAUAGUGAAACCGCGAAUGGCUCAUUAAAUCAGUUACUAUUUCUUAGAUCUUACUUUUGUUACUUGGAUAACUGUGGUAAUUCUAGAGCUAAUACAUGCACUUCAACCCUGACUUCUGGAAAGGGUGCUCUUAUUAGACUCAAAACCAAUGUCCAGUCUCGGCUGGUCUUGUUUUGGUGACUCUGGAUAAAGUGGCGGAUCGCAGCGCUUCACGCGGGCGACGUAUCUUUCCAAAAUGUCUGCCCUAUCAACUGUCGACGGUAGUGUAUUGGACUACUGUGGUUGCAACGGGUAACGGGGAAUUAGGGUUCGAUUCCGGAGAGGGAGCCCUGAGAAACGGCUACCACAUCCAAGGAAGGCAGCAGGCGCGCAAAUUACCCACUCCUAGCACAGGGAGGUAGUGACAAGAAAUAACAAUACGGGACUCUUUCGAGGCCCCGUAAUUGGAAUGAGAACAGUGUAAAGCACUUAACGAGGAUCUAUUGGAGGGCAAGUCUGGUGCCAGCAGCCGCGGUAAUUCCAGCUCCAAUAGCGUAUAUUAAAGUUGUUGCAGUUAAAAAGCUCGUAGUUGGAUCUCGGGAGCGGGCGGGCGGUCGGGCGUUCAGCCGUGCACUUCCCGCCCAUCCUACUGUCCGGUGCGUCCCCUGUGCUCUUAACCGAGUGUAGGGAGCGUCUGGAGCGUUUACUUUGAAAAAAUUAGAGUGCUCAAAGCAGACGAGUCGUCUGAAUAGCCGUGCAUGGAAUAAUGGAAUAGGACCUCGGUUCUAUUUUGUUGGUUUUCGGAAGUCGAGGUAAUGAUUAAGAGGGACAGACGGGGGCAUUCGUACUGGGCCGCCAGAGGUGAAAUUCUUUAACUGGCUCAUGACGAACAACUGCGAAAGCAUUUGCCAAGAAUGUUUUCAUUAAUCAAGAACGAAAGUCAGAGGGUCGAAGACGAUCAGAUACCGUCGUAGUUCUGACUGUAAACCAUGCCAACUGGCGAUCCGCAGGUGUUUCUCGAUGACCCUGCGGGCAGCAUCAGGGAAACCACAAGUUUUUGGGUUCCGGGGGAAGUAUGGUGUGCAAAGCUGAAACUUAAAGGAAUUGACGGAAGGGCACCACCAGGAGUGGAGCCUGCGGCUUAAUUUGACUCAACACGGGGAACCUCACCCGGCCCGGACACAGUUAGGAUUGACAGAUUGAGAGUUCUUUCUUGAUUCUGUGGGUGGUGGUGCAUGGCCGUUCUUAGUUGGUGGAGCGAUUUGUCUGGUUAAUUCCGAUAACGAACGAGACUCAAUCCUGCUAACUAGUGCGCCGACUAUUCAGCCAGGCGAUGACUUCUUAGAGGGACAGAUGUUAUAUAAGCAUACGAAACUGAGCAAUAACAGGUCUGUGAUGCCCUUAGAUGUUCGGGGCCGCACGCGCGCUACACUGAAUGGAUCAACGUGCCUUUCCCAAGGCUGAAAAGUCGAGGUAAUCCGUUGAACCCCAUUCGUGACGGGGAUAGGAGCUUGCAAUUAUUCUCCUUGAACGAGGAAUUCCCAGUAAGCGCGAGUCAUCAGCUCGCGUUGAUUACGUCCCUGCCCUUUGUACACACCGCCCGUCGCUACUACCGAUCGGAUUGUCCUGUGAAUUGGUAGGAGAGUUGAAGUCCUGGCGCUUCGGUGUCGGCGAUUUCAUGCUCGAAUUCCAUUGAACUGGACUCUCUAGAGGAAGUAAAAGUCGUAAC
RNAcentral lists this ribosomal RNA (1778 nucleotides) under Pectinaria gouldii. RNAcentral's name for it is "SSU rRNA". It matches the Rfam family "Eukaryotic small subunit ribosomal RNA". The record is from RNAcentral. Lineage: Eukaryota; Metazoa; Annelida; Polychaeta; Terebellida; Pectinariidae.